CCCUUAGACGCUCUAGGCGGCACGCGCGCUACAAUGGGUGGUAGAACGUGUAACUGCUCCCGAAAGGGAGGGUGAACCACGAAUACUUACCCGUGAAUGGGAUAGUUUGUUGCAAUUUUCGGACUUGAACUAGGAAUCCCUUGUAAGAAUGCUCAAGAAUAGCGUGCUGAAUACGUCCCUGCCGUUUGUACACACCGUCCGUCGUUUCUUCCGACUGAUACUCAUUGUGAGUUGCAAGGAUUCUUAUUGAAAAAUUGCUGCGAAUGCUUUGUAUUGGAGGAAGAAAAAGUCGUAACA
Molecule: ribosomal RNA, 297 nt
Filed under: uncultured eukaryote
Lineage: Eukaryota
Description: partial 18S ribosomal RNA
Rfam family: Eukaryotic small subunit ribosomal RNA
Source: RNAcentral